GACAGAGGGUGCUAGCGUUGUUCGGAAUUACUGGGCGUAAAGGGCGCGUAGGCGGCUCGUUUAGUCGGGUGUGAAAUCCCAAGGCUCAACCUUAGAACUGCAUUCGAUACUGGCGGGCUAGAGACCGGAAGAGGUGGGUGGAAUACCCAGUGUAGAGGUGAAAUUCGUAGAUAUUGGGUGGAACACCGGUGGCGAAAGCGGCUCACUGGCUCGGUUCUGACGCUGAGGCGCGAAAGCGUGGGGAGCAAACAGG
Molecule: ribosomal RNA, 253 nt
Filed under: uncultured bacterium
Lineage: Bacteria
Description: partial 16S ribosomal RNA
Rfam family: Bacterial small subunit ribosomal RNA
Source: RNAcentral